This 1575-nucleotide ribosomal RNA is filed under the name Triticum aestivum (bread wheat). RNAcentral describes it as "partial small subunit ribosomal RNA". The record is from RNAcentral. Lineage: Eukaryota; Viridiplantae; Streptophyta; Magnoliopsida; Poales; Poaceae.
AUGUCCACGAUCUUCGUGCUGGGCUUCGCAUACAUUGAUGGCGGUCGCAACCACCCACCCCUCCUACUUCGUCUCCAUUUCGACGAAAAGCGCAUCGGUCUCCGCCUGUUCCUGCCGGAUGAAGCGUCGGUUCGCCUCCAUGGCGGCCUCAUCUUGAAUGGUCUCAACGGAGGUCUGCUCCACCAUCUCUGCGGGUGGGCAACCUCGUACUCCGUCAUGGCGUCCGCCAUGGUGAAGUCAUCAACCAGCACCGGCUCCUCCAUGGGCUCCGGCCGUUGGAAUUUGGUACUUGCCGCUGUAGAUGCUCUCACCUCCUGUUCCGAGAUUGACCGGAAAAGACUGGAUGGGGAGAGGGGGAAAAAUCUCCAUUCUAGUUUGCCAUCCAUUUGCCCCCUGAGGAGGAUCCUGACGGGCGGAAACGAGGUUGAUGUGCCCACUGCCGCCGUGAUUCUUUCUAGCCAUACUCCCCGGCUGCUCUGGUUUGGCUGCCGCCCCGCCAUGAAGCAAAAGUUCGUGGUGAAGGUCGAGCUCAAGGACAACAGACAGAGGUCGAAAGCGUUGACAGCAGUCGCCGUUCUCCCCGGCGUCGAGUCGAUUUCUUUGGAAAUUCAUGGGAAUAUCGUGGUCAUCGGGGACGGCGUUGACAUCCUCCAGGCCGUGGGAAGGUUGUUCGGGCAUGCUUCUCUCCUCUCCGUCAAGGAGGAGCUCAAGAAGAAAGACGGCAGCGGCCAGGAGGAGGACGAAAGCGGUGCGACUCCUCCGUGCGAGUUCACAUUCGGGCACUUGAGCCGUAUCACAAAUAAUUUCUCAGGGGAGCGCAUAAUUGGUCGUGGUCGGCGUGGAUUAGUUUACAAGGCAGCACACCCCCACCCCUCACCUGCAGACCCUCCCCUCCGAACCCAAUGUCCCUGGCACCGCCUCGAGGAAGGUUACAGUGCACGGGGCACCGCCGAAGCCCGAUCCGCAUCGGAUCUUGGGCUUUCACCCGGACAAGGGUCGGAGUGGAGAGAUGGUGUCCUCAACAGCGCCCCCAAGGAGGAAAGCGGCGCCAAAAGGCGGCGUCGCAGCUGCCGGCCAGCCAAGGCGGCCAAGGUUUCCUUCAGACACCGAUCUGCUCCACCAGAACACACCGGAGGCGGAUCCGGCAAGAUCCAAAGCCGAACCGGGGACUGGGAGGGGAUGCAUGGAAAGGAAGGGGGCAAUACCUCCAGAUCAGGCAUGGGAAGCUCUGCGCCGCGCUCGACCACCACCUGCGGCAUGAAAGGAGAGAUUUUUUGGCGGGGCGGUAACCGCCAUGAAACCUCCAUGCGGGCCUACCAAACGCCGCUGCCCCAUCGAAAACUCACCGGAGCGCCGCCGUCGCCUAUACCGGAAAACCACCGCGUCGCCGCGACAGGCCGCCACCGUGCCGGAAGGAUGCCAUGUCGCGUGCCGCCACGCUGCCACAUUGCACCCCCGCCACUGCGCCACAUUGCCACCGCCUCUCGUGCCCCCCUGGCCACGCCGCCACACGCGGCCCCUCGCUGGUGCCAACACGCACCCGCGCCACCGCCCACCGCUGGUGGCCACCACUAA